UGUUUUGGUGUGACUGUUGCGGUAUGUGUGGAUUUCCAUAAUUUUCUCAGACAAUAAGGAUAUAACGUUGGAGGCUCAUGUUUUGUUUGGACACUGCUACACGUAAAGGUACUCCUUGUUGCGCGGUAUAACCGAAUUAUACAGAACACCCCAGCGUCGGUGCAACAGUGCUGCAUCAGUUUAAGAUAUUGUGUCCGUCAAGACCCUGGCGAAAUUGGGUGACGAAAGGUACUUCCAGCAUGGACAAUGUCUUCAUUCCAUUCUCAGCACCAGGUCUUCCUCAAGGGUCAAAACUUUCAACAUACUUAACAAGUCGCGUCUCGGAGCCAGCAGAGGUGAGCAGCGUUAUGGCCGGGCUCAGCCUGGCCUCCGGCUCUUCACCGGCGGGCAAGGCGGGCGGGGCGCGCGCGCUGGCGGCGCGCGCCUUCACGCCCGAAGCCGUCGCCAAUGGCUCACCGCCGGACGCCGCCGGCGCCACUCUGGACGAGUCCUCGUCCGACC
Molecule: long non-coding RNA, 501 nt
Organism: Pollicipes pollicipes
Lineage: Eukaryota; Metazoa; Arthropoda; Thecostraca; Pollicipedomorpha; Pollicipedidae
Exons: 3
Source: RefSeq, a predicted model, not a curated record